CGGUUUUGUCGCGUCUGCUGUGAAAUCCGGAGGCUCAACCUCCGGCCUGCAGUGGGUACGGGGCAGACUAGAGUGCGGUAGGGGAGAUUGGAAUUCCUGGUGUAGCGGUGGAAUGCGCAGAUAUCAGGAGGAACACCGAUGGCGAAGGCAGAUCUCUGGGCCGUAACUGACGCUGAGGAGCGAAAGGGUGGGGAGCAAACAGGCUUAGAUACCCUGGUAGUCCACCCCGUAAACGUUGGGAACUAGUUGUGGGGUCCAUUCCACGGAUUCCGUGACGCAGCUAACGCAUUAAGUUCCCCGCCUGGGGAGUACGGCCGCAAGGCUAAAACUCAAAGGAAUUGACGGGGACCCGCACAAGCGGCGGAGCAUGCGGAUUAAUUCGAUGCAACGCGAAGAACCUUACCAAGGCUUGACAUAUACGAGAACGGGCCAGAAAUGGUCAACUCUUUGGACACUCGUAAACAGGUGGUGCAUGGUUGUCGUCAGCUCGUGUCGUGAGAUGUUGGGUUAAGUCCCGCAACGAGCGCAACCCUCGUUCUAUGUUGCCAGCACGUAAUGGUGGGAACUCAUGGGAUACUGCCGGGGUCAACUCGGAGGAAGGUGGGGAUGACGUCAAAUCAUCAUGCCCCUUAUGUCUUGGGCUUCACGCAUGCUACAAUGGCCGGUACAAAGGGCUGCAAUACCGUGAGGUGGAGCGAAUCCCAAAAAGCCGGUCCCAGUUCGGAUUGAGGUCUGCAACUCGACCUCAUGAAGUCGGAGUCGCUAGUAAUCGCAGAUCAGCAACGCUGCGGUGAAUACGUUCCCGGGUCUUGUACACACCGC
Molecule: ribosomal RNA, 822 nt
Filed under: Microbacterium oxydans
Lineage: Bacteria; Bacillati; Actinomycetota; Actinomycetes; Micrococcales; Microbacteriaceae
Description: bacterial SSU rRNA
Rfam family: Bacterial small subunit ribosomal RNA
Source: RNAcentral